This 233-nucleotide ribosomal RNA is filed under the name uncultured bacterium. RNAcentral's name for it is "partial 16S ribosomal RNA". It matches the Rfam family "Bacterial small subunit ribosomal RNA", at positions 334 to 583 of the family's 1533-position model. The record is from RNAcentral.
UUCUCCUACGGGGGGCAGCAGUCGGGAAUAUUGCGCAAUGGAGGAAACUCUGACGCAGUGACGCCGCGUGCAGGAAGAAGGUUUUCGGAUUGUAAACUGCUUUAGACAGGGAAGAAACAAGACAGUACCUGUAGAAUAAGCUCCGGCUAACUACGUGCCAGCAGCCGCGGUAAUACGUAGGUGGCAAGCGUUGUCCGGAUUUAUUGGGCGUAAAGCGAGUGCAGGCGGUUCAA